Molecule: long non-coding RNA, 1689 nt
Organism: Felis catus (domestic cat)
Lineage: Eukaryota; Metazoa; Chordata; Mammalia; Carnivora; Felidae
Exons: 10
Source: RefSeq, a predicted model, not a curated record
ACCACCAGUCUCCCUCCUCUAGGCGCCGCGAGAGCGCUCCCACCUGAGGCCCGCCCCGGUGUUUCCCCAACCCCGCCCCCUGGAAUCUGACCAAUCAGCUUCGGGCUUGCGUAGCAGCGCCUGAUUGGUGGAACACGGAGGUCGCCCCAGAGAGGGCUGAGCUCAUUGGACAGCUUCCCCGCGCGUCUAUAAAAGGGUCGCGGCCACCGCGCGGGUGAGCGCGCUGGAGGGAUCCUGGCGGCGGGCGAGAACGCUAAGCCUCGCGCCUCAGAGCCCCGGGCCGGGCCUGCCAGGGUCCCCUAGACCCCAGGUCCCUCACGCCCUUCGCACGCGGGGAUGGGAUGGCCUCCUUCGCCUCUCUCUGUCCGCGAGAGGAGCUCUACCUCUUAGCCUUUGUCCCCAAAGAGAACAUCCACUUGCUUUGACUUGGACGUAAGAAAUAUUUUUCGCUUAUGGGUCAUUGUCAUUGUUCAAGUAAACUCUGAAAACGUUGGCAGUUAUUCUCACGUGCAGAGGCUCCCUCACGAAUCCAUCACGCUGCGCAGUGGUGUGCCCCUGCGUCAGGAGAGGCAGAAAGUGAAGGAAGACACCAAAGUCACUAGAGCACCUUUAGGUUCACGGCGCAGUUGAGGUGUGGAGACUUCCCAUAUACCCACUGCCUUCACACGUGCACAGCCUCCGCCGUUUGCAACAUUCUUCGCCAGGGGGAAGAGAAGUAGCAAAGCUCUAAAGGGAGAAUUAUUUUUUUGCAGUUUCCCCCCAUUUCAUCGCUCGUGGUGGAUAUCCACAUGUUCCAGUACCCUAUUUCAAAAAGAUGAUCCUUUCUCCUUUGAGUUUUCUUGGUGCGUGUGUUGAAAAUCAAUUGGCUGUAAAUGUAAUCUCAUACGGAACUCUGGCUUCAGCAGACUUCUCACCGAGGAAUCCUGUGUCAACAUUUGCAACUGAGAUGCCACGGAACUGUCCACUCAUAUCGCCAGCCUGGCGUCUCUCCUGUGCUGCCGUGUGAAUCUCAAGGGCCGUCUUCUUUGCACCGAGCGACAGAUGAUAUUGGUAGUGAAAACACAAAACACGGGGUUAAGAAGAACUGGUCGCUGCACAUGUCGGUCCUGCCGGGCACUAACAAGGACCAGUUCCCGACUGGAAUUUGAAAGGACCGCUGUUACAUUCUGCUGUACUAUGGGUGCCCAGAGGAAAUGACUCCCUAGAGGGGAGCCUGGAUUGGACCAUCUAGCAGCCCAACAACACCAGAGCCAGCCAGCCAGCCAGGCCCCCUUCUCAGACUCGCAUGUGCGGUCCUUUGGGCAUUGGCUUCACCUUUGCUCCCUAGAGCUCUUUUUUUCUCAUCACCUAGCCGUCUUCUCUAGCCCGGGCUCGGCAAACUCCAACCCGUGGGCCAAAUUCAACCUGCUGCCUAGUUUUACAAGGAAGCUGAAUAGAAAAACAACUUUCCUAAGCUCAAAGAAUGAAUGGCAAAGCCAGCAACCGUUGACUCGUCGAUGCCUGAGGUAUUUACACUUUCAGUAACCUGCAUAUGGAUCCCACUGCUAUUUAAUUAAGACUUAAACCUAUAAAGAUGCACAUUUAAUACUCACAGUAAACCCUUGACUUGUUUCCUUUGAAGAUAAACAGAGAGUGAGAGUGAGUGAGGGAGGGGCAAAGGGAGAGGAAGAGAGAAUCUCAAGCAGGAUC